CCUACGGGUGGCAGCAGUGGGGAAUAUUGGGCAAUGGGCGCAAGCCUGACCCAGCAACGCCGCGUGAAGGAAGAAGGCUUUCGGGUUGUAAACUUCUUUUCUCAGGGACGAAGCAAGUGACGGUACCUGAGGAAUAAGCCACGGCUAACUACGUGCCAGCAGCCGCGGUAAGACGUAGGUGGCAAGCGUUAUCCGGAUUUAAUGGGUGUAAAGGGCGUGUAGGCGGGGACGCAAGUCAGAUGUGAAAACCCCGGGCUCAACCUGUGGCCUGCAUUUGAAACUGUGUUGCUUGAGUACUGGAGAGGCAGACGGAAUUCCUAGUGUAGCGGGGAAAUGCGUAGAUAUUAGGGGGAACACCAGUGGCGAAGGCGGGCUGCUGGACAGCAACUGACGCUGAGGCGCGAAAGCGUGGGGAGCAAACAGGAUUAGAUACCCAGUAGUC
This 442-nucleotide ribosomal RNA is filed under the name uncultured bacterium. RNAcentral's name for it is "partial 16S ribosomal RNA". It matches the Rfam family "Bacterial small subunit ribosomal RNA", at positions 338 to 795 of the family's 1533-position model. The record is from RNAcentral.